Molecule: ribosomal RNA, 382 nt
Filed under: uncultured eukaryote
Lineage: Eukaryota
Description: partial 18S ribosomal RNA
Rfam family: Eukaryotic small subunit ribosomal RNA
Source: RNAcentral
CAAUAGCGUAUAUUAAAGUUGUUGCAGUUAAAAAGCUCGUAGUUGGAUUUCUGGUUGAAGCGACCGGUCGGGCGUUGAUUCGUCUGCACUGGAGUCGGUUUUGGCCAUCCUCUAGGAAAGUGCGUCUGGUAUUAAGUUAUCGGGCGUAUGAUCCUGGUCUUUUACUGUGAAAAAAUUAGAGUGUUUAAAGCAGGCCUUCGCCUUGAAUACAUUAGCAUGGAAUAAUAAGAUAGGACUUUGGUCUAUUUUGUUGGUUUGCAGACCGAAGUAAUGGUUAAUAGGGAUAGUUGGGGGUAUUUAUAUUCCGAUGUCAGAGGUGAAAUUCUUAGAUUUUCGGAAGAUAAACUUAUGCGAAAGCAUUUACCAAGGAUGUUUNCAUUAA